GAUGAACGCUGGCGGCGUGCCUAAUACAUGCAAGUCGAGCGAACGGACGAGAAGCUUGCUUCUCUGAUGUUAGCGGCGGACGGGUGAGUAACACGUGGAUAACCUACCUAUAAGACUGGGAUAACUUCGGGAAACCGGAGCUAAUACCGGAUAAUAUUUUUAACCGCAUGGUUCAAAAGUGAAAGACGGUCUUGCUGUCACUUAUAGAUGGAUCCGCGCUGCAUUAGCUAGUUGGUAAGGUAACGGCUUACCAAGGCAACGAUGCAUAGCCGACCUGAGAGGGUGAUCGGCCACACUGGAACUGAGACACGGUCCAGACAACUACGGGAGGCAGCAGUAGGGAAUCUUCCGCAGUGGGCGAAAGCCUGACGGAGCAACGCCGCGUGAGUGAUGAAGGUCUUCGGAUCGUAAAACUCUGUUAUUAGGGAAGAACAUAUGUGUAAGUAACUGUGCACAUCUUGACGGUACCUAAUCAGAAAGCCACGGCUAACUACGUG
Molecule: ribosomal RNA, 497 nt
Filed under: uncultured bacterium
Lineage: Bacteria
Description: partial 16S ribosomal RNA
Rfam family: Bacterial small subunit ribosomal RNA
Source: RNAcentral